Long non-coding RNA from Passer domesticus (house sparrow), 2216 nucleotides. RefSeq lists it as uncharacterized. NCBI's taxonomy places the organism in Eukaryota, Metazoa, Chordata, Aves, Passeriformes, Passeridae. The transcript has 6 exons. The record is from RefSeq and is a predicted model, not a curated record.
UAUAGAGGCGUCAUGAUCCGCUAGUAGAAGCAGGGGUCCUGAUGUUUUACCAAUCUCAGAGUGCAAAACACACAAGGCAGAGGACUGUUGGAAACACCUCAUGUGUGGAGAUGCAAGGCUUGGCUCCAUUUUCAGAAGCUUUAAUUUAUAGCAGUUUUGUGGCAGCAGCCAAGAAAACAAGGAUCUGGGAGGAGCAGGCGUGGAAUUCCCAGUCCCUUGGCACCAAAGUUUACACACCACUGCUUUGUCUGGAGCUCAUCGAUCAGCUGGGGUCAGGAGGAGGUUCACCUCUCCAGGGUGUUUGCAUGGCAUUGCUGUGGAAUCUCCUGCAUUCCUUAACACUGUGUGGGAGGACAGGCAUGGAAUUGUGAGGAAUCUGACCAUUUUAUUCCCUCUCCGGCCCGCAGAAAUCACUGUCAAUCCUGGCACCGCUGGGGAGGAGGACACCAAGAUGGAUGAAGGUUUCCCACUGAGAAGAGCCAAGCCUCUCUGGGAACCCCAAGGAGCAAAGUGGAAGGUAUCAGGAGCUAAUGGACUCCUGGCUACACAAAAUCCCUGGAGCUCAGAGGCUUUUGCUGUGCCAGCAGGGAGGUCCCUUUCCUGUGGGAUCAUCUCUUCUCCCUCCCCGCUGGUGCUGAGCCUCUCAACUGAGUUCUUCCCAGUUGGCUCCACUUCCCCCAGCAAGCCACGAGUGUCACUGCUGCUCAGCAACAAAAAGUGGUGAUACAGGUUAUAAAAAUGUUGCAGUAAGUAGAAAAAUCAUAAAGAAAGACUUCGUAAAAUCAGGCCUGCUCUGGCUAGCCUGUCAUUUCUUCUAAGGCACUUUGCAAGUUCCCAUGUGAAAGCAGUCCUGUUGUGAGCAGUUUGUUAGCAUAACAAUCUAUUUCUAGGUGAAAAACAACUGGCACCUGUAUAAACUGUUUUUAUACCAUUAGAUAGGAAAAUGAAAACUAUCUCUCACAAACAACUUUUUCUGCACGUACACCCCGCGGGUUUGAGUGACUAAUCAAUACAGAACAACAACUUGUUACUAACCAAUAAUUGGCAAGAAAGCUACUAAUCCACUGGAGUCACACACAAGGUCUGUAAAACUGUAUAAAAAGGAGUUAUGUGAAUAAAGAAUGGGCUUUUUCCACCAUGAAGAAAAUGGAGUUCCUUGUGAUUUAUUCCCAUAUAAAAACACCAGAAGUGAUGGGAAAGGGGUGUUUCCUCCUGGUGAGACAUCUCCAAGAAGCUCCAUAUAGGAGGGGAUGGUCCAGGAGGCCAACUGGAGCUUCACCAUCCUCCUCUCCUGGGUGGCUUGGCCUGAGGAUUCAGCAGAGAGAGCAGAGCAUCCACAUGAUCUGCCAGGGUGGAUUCAGGCUCCUCUGCUCCAGUCUGCAGCCUAAUUGCUGAGGUGGGACCAGGAAGAGGAGCCUUCUGUUUACUCACAUAGUUUCAAGGUGAGUAACACACGCUGGGCCCAGCUCUGGCUCUGUGGUGCUGUCAGAGUGAGACCUUCCCCUCGCAGCUCCCCCAGCCCCUGGGCUGCCAGGGUGGGCUGGAGAAGCUCUCAAAUGGAAGGGCACAGGGCUUUGAAACCCCUCCUGCACCAUCCCAGAGGGCUGGGGGCCACAGAACUCUCCUCGCCUGGCACUGAGGAUCUCUGUCCUCUUUUCCUCCCCUUCCUCCUUCCUUUUGGCACACAAGGUGCUGCUUUGAUGCCCUCAUGAGACAAAUUUUCCACCGGUAAUAGAUCCUUGUGAUAACAGAUCCUUGUGGUCACCCCCGUGACUGGCUCAUUCUUCCCAGGGGCUAAAUCCUGGUUUCUUCAGCUCCCUUCAGCCACCUUGGGAAAGGGGAUAUCUUGUUUCCUUCAUGACCACCUCUACCAAAUAACCCCCUCCUGCUCAGGCCUGCCAGUCCUGACCCUGCAGCUUGGCUGACCCUUGGCCAGCCUGUCCUCAGGAACUGACUGCUCCCUGACCCUUGGAUGUGGGAUCAACACCUCGCUGAUGGGUUUCCUUCCUCCACAACCACUGGCUGAAGCAGAGGAUCCCAGGAAAACAUCAGACCUCAGAGAAAUCCCACGGAGAAACAUCUUUGGACAUGCUGGAUGCAUUGGAUGGUGCUGGGAUUUGCACAAGAGGCACUAAGCCUGAGUGCAGGGAGCUGCUGGAGCAGGGUUUUGGCAGCAAUGCUGCUGGCCUGUCCCGUUGUAGGAGCUGAGACAGCCG